Molecule: ribosomal RNA, 1673 nt
Filed under: Arthrobotrys conoides
Lineage: Eukaryota; Fungi; Ascomycota; Orbiliomycetes; Orbiliales; Orbiliaceae
Description: partial 18S ribosomal RNA, small subunit
Rfam family: Eukaryotic small subunit ribosomal RNA
Source: RNAcentral
AGCCAUGCAUGUCUAAGUAUAAGCAACUAUACAGUGAAACUGCGAAUGGCUCAUUAAAUCAGUUAUCGUUUAUUUGAUAGUACCUUACUACUUGGAUAACCGUGGUAAUUCUAGAGCUAAUACAUGCUAAAAAUCCCGACCUCCGGAAGGGAUGUAUUUAUUAGAUAAAAAACCAAUGCCUUCGGGCUCCUUGGUGAUUCAUGAUAACUUAACGAAUCGCAUGGCCUUGCGCCGGCGAUGGUUCAUUCAAAUUUCUGCCCUAUCAACUUUCGAUGGUAGGAUAGUGGCCUACCAUGGUUUCAACGGGUAACGGGGAAUUAGGGUUCGAUUCCGGAGAGGGAGCCUGAGAAACGGCUACCACAUCCAAGGAAGGCAGCAGGCGCGCAAAUUACCCAAUCCCGAUUCGGGGAGGUAGUGACAAUAAAUACUGAUACAGGGCUCUUUUGGGUCUUGUAAUUGGAAUGAGUACAAUUUAAAUCCCUUAACGAGGAACAAUUGGAGGGCAAGUCUGGUGCCAGCAGCCGCGGUAAUUCCAGCUCCAAUAGCGUAUAUUAAAGUUGUUGCAGUUAAAAAGCUCGUAGUUGAACCUUGGGUUUGGCUGCUCGGUCCGCCUAACCGCGUGCACUGAUGCGGCCGGAUCUUUCCUUCUGGCUAACCUCAUGCCCUUUACUGGGUGUGCUGGGGAUCCAGGACUUUUACUUUGAAAAAAUUAGAGUGUUCAAAGCAGGCCUUUGCUCGAAUACAUUAGCAUGGAAUAAUAGAAUAGGACGGCGGUUCUAUUUUGUUGGUUUCUAGAGCCACCGUAAUGAUUAAUAGGGAUAGUCGGGGGCAUCAGUAUUCAAUUGUCAGAGGUGAAAUUCUUGGAUUUAUUGAAGACUAACUACUGCGAAAGCAUUUGCCAAGGAUGUUUUCAUUAAUCAGUGAACGAAAGUUAGGGGAUCGAAGACGAUCAGAUACCGUCGUAGUCUUAACCAUAAACUAUGCCGACUAGGGAUCGGGCGGUGUUCAACUUAUGACCCGCUCGGCACCUUACGAGAAAUCAAAGUUUUUGGGUUCUGGGGGGAGUAUGGUCGCAAGGCUGAAACUUAAAGGAAUUGACGGAAGGGCACCACCAGAUGUGGAGCCUGCGGCUUAAUUUGACUCAACACGGGGAAACUCACCAGGUCCAGACACAUUAAGGAUUGACAGAUUGAGAGCUCUUUCUUGAUUAUGUGGGUGGUGGUGCAUGGCCGUUCUUAGUUGGUGGAGUGAUUUGUCUGCUUAAUUGCGAUAACGAACGAGACCUUAACCUGCUAAAUAGCCUGGCUAGCUUUUGCUGGUCACCGGCUUCUUAGAGGGACUAUCGGCUCAAGCCGAUGGAAGUUUGAGGCAAUAACAGGUCUGUGAUGCCCUUAGAUGUUCUGGGCCGCACGCGCGCUACACUGACAGAGCCAACGAGUAUAACCCUUAGCCGAGAGGUUUAGGUAAUCUUGUUAAACUCUGUCGUGCUGGGGAUAGGGCAUUGCAAUUAUUGCCCUUCAACGAGGAAUAUCUAGUAAGCGCAAGUCAUCAGCUUGCGUUGAUUACGUCCCUGCCCUUUGUACACACCGCCCGUCGCUACUACCGAUUGAAUGGCUCAGUGAGGCCUUCGGACUGGCUCCAGGAGGUUGGCAACAACCACCCAGAGCCGGAAA